Molecule: small nucleolar RNA, 192 nt
Filed under: Echinops telfairi (small Madagascar hedgehog)
Lineage: Eukaryota; Metazoa; Chordata; Mammalia; Afrosoricida; Tenrecidae
Description: Small nucleolar RNA SNORA73 family (ENSETEG00000022899.1)
Rfam family: Small nucleolar RNA SNORA73 family
About the family: U17 (SNORA73A and SNORA73B) also known as E1 belongs to the H/ACA class of small nucleolar RNAs (snoRNAs). Vertebrate U17 is intron-encoded and ranges in length from 200-230 nucleotides, longer than most snoRNAs. It is one of the most abundant snoRNAs in human cells and is essential for the cleavage of pre-rRNA within the 5' external transcribed spacer (ETS).
Source: RNAcentral
CACACAUGGAUACUCCCGGGAGGUCACUCUCCCUGGGCUCUGUCCAGGUGGCAUGGAGGAGCUCAGGGCACUGCCCCUUGAUGGGCAGUCCUGUUCCACAACAUCGGAGAUCAAGCCUGGCCUUGGUCUGCACCCACAUAUUCCUACCGCUUCUCUGAGUGACUGAGGAGACAACCCGUGCAGGAAACAGCC